RNAcentral lists this ribosomal RNA (479 nucleotides) under uncultured bacterium. Its description in RNAcentral is "bacterial SSU rRNA". It matches the Rfam family "Bacterial small subunit ribosomal RNA", at positions 37 to 507 of the family's 1533-position model. The record is from RNAcentral.
UGGCGGCAGGCCUAACACAUGCAAGUCGAGCGGAAACGAUCCUAGCUUGCUAGAAGAUGACGAGCGGCGGGCGGGUGAGUAACGCGUAGAAAUCUACCUAGUAGUGGGGGAUAGCCCAGAGAAAUUUGGAUUAAUACCGCAUACGCCCUACGGGGGAAAGCGGGGGAUCUUCGGACCUCGUGCUAUUAGAUGAGUCUGCGUCGGAUUAGCUUGUUGGUGAGGUAAUGGCUCACCAAGGCGACGAUCCGUAGCUGGUCUGAGAGGAUGACCAGCCACACUGGAACUGAGACACGGUCCAGACUCCUACGGGAGGCAGCAGUGGGGAAUAUUGCACAAUGGGCGCAAGCCUGAUGCAGCCAUGCCGCGUGUGUGAAGAAGGCCUUAGGGUUGUAAAGCACUUUCAGCAGUGAGGAAAGGGGUGUCGUUAAUAGCGCCAUCCUGUGACGUUAACUGCAGAAGAAGGACCGGCUAACUCCGUG